AGAACGAACGCUGGCGGCAGGCUUAACACAUGCAAGUCGAACGCUCGUAGCAAUACGGGAGUGGCAGACGGGUGAGUAACGCGUGGGAACAUACCCUCCGGUUCGGAAUAGCUCAGGGAAACUUGGAUUAAUACCGGAUACGGCUGAGAGGCGAAAGAUUUAUCGCCGGAGGAUUGGCCCGCGUUCGAUUAGCUAGUUGGUGAGGUAACGGCUCACCAAGGCGACGAUCAGUAGCUGGUCUGAGAGGAUGAUCAGCCACAUUGGGACUGAGACACGGCCCAAACUCCUACGGGAGGCAGCAGUGGGGAAUAUUGGACAAUGGGCGCAAGCCUGAUCCAGCCAUGCCGCGUGAGUGAUGAAGGCCCUAGGGUUGUAAAGCUCUUUGUGCGGGAAGAUAAUGACGGUACCGCAAGAAUAAGCCCCGGCUAACUUCGUGCCAGCAGCCGC
This 447-nucleotide ribosomal RNA is filed under the name uncultured bacterium. Its description in RNAcentral is "SSU rRNA". It matches the Rfam family "Bacterial small subunit ribosomal RNA", at positions 26 to 518 of the family's 1533-position model. The record is from RNAcentral.